GACGAACGCUGGCGGCGUGCUUAACACAUGCAAGUCGAACGGAAAGGCCCUGCUUUUGUGGGGUGCUCGAGUGGCGAACGGGUGAGUAACACGUGAGUAACCUGCCCUGGACUGGGGGAUAACUUCAGGAAACUGGGGCUAAUACCGGAUAGGAGCUCCUGCUGCAUGGUGGGGGUUGGAAAGUUUCGGCGGUUGGGGAUGGACUCGCGGCUUAUCAGCUUGUUGGGGGGGUAGUGGCUUACCAAGGCUUUGACGGGUAGCCGGCCUGAGAGGGUGACCGGCCACAUUGGGACUGAGAUACGGCCCAGACUCCUACGGGAGGCAGCAGUGGGGAAUAUUGCACAAUGGGCGGAAGCCUGAUGCAGCAACGCCGCGUGCGGGAUGACGGCCUUCGGGUUGUAAACCGCUUUCGCCUGUGACGAAGCGUGAGUGACGGUAAUGGGUAAAGAAGCACCGGCUAACUACGUG
RNAcentral lists this ribosomal RNA (468 nucleotides) under uncultured bacterium. RNAcentral describes it as "partial 16S ribosomal RNA". It matches the Rfam family "Bacterial small subunit ribosomal RNA", at positions 28 to 507 of the family's 1533-position model. The record is from RNAcentral.